Molecule: long non-coding RNA, 1133 nt
Filed under: Heterocephalus glaber (naked mole-rat)
Lineage: Eukaryota; Metazoa; Chordata; Mammalia; Rodentia; Bathyergidae
Description: lncRNA (ENSHGLG00000032547.1)
Source: RNAcentral
GCCACACAAAUACAGUAACUAUUUUUGUUAUACAGAAAUGGGAGCCAAAAUAAAUUAAUACUAGAAAACAGAAAUUUAAUUAGGCAGAAAAUAGGAAAUAAUUUUCACUAACCCAUGCCAUUUACAUGAGUUAAUAACAAUAGUGCUGAUAAAUGCCUUGACCAUAUAAUAGCACAGGAGGGCAAAACAUUUAGUGCACAGUAUUUUAAUACACAUGAAUAUACAAAGUUGAUCAAAACACAAUGUUCAAAGAUAAAAUCCAUCUGUAAUAAAGCUACAAUCCAAUAUCUAAAAUAAGCCCUAACUGCCAGUUAGAACAUAGCUCCUUGUUAGGCAUGCCCAUAAAAUUAAGGAUAUUCAUGAAAAUAAAUGUAUAGGGACCAUUUCUGUCAUUUUUUUCCAUUUCAUCUUAAAACUAAAAUAUACCAAGCCAUAAAAUGAAGUAUGACUGGCUUUCUAUUCAAACCCACAGCCUGAUAAUGUUCCUUGAUCUCUUCACACCAGUCCACUUGGUAUUGCCUUGGAAUGGAAGAUGCAUCAAGAUAAGAGCACUGGAUGUCAGCAUUUUAUCAAAAUUUGCUUUUAAACAAAAGACUUUAGCAUACUGUACCAUAAUCUAGACAUGAAACUACUAAGUAACCAAUAAAGCAAAUAUUUAUUUUUUCAAGUGUAAAACACUGUAACUUAUCUUAAACACCCAGCAGUUAGAGAAACACAGCAGGCCUACUAACUCCUGCUGGAAAGACACACAAAACCCUGGCCAUUGGAGGGAGUACUGCUGAGCCUUUGUGCUAUCACUGUGAGUGUGGAAUGGCCUUGCAUACUCCACAGGAUUCUCUGCUUUAUGCUAGGAAUGGGAACCGAAAGUAACAAAGUGUGUCCAUGCUAUUGUCUUUACAUAAAGAAAAAUGAUUGGGGGGAAAAUGUAGCUGCCUAGAGUUUUUUUUUAAUCCAAGAGGAAGAGGUGAGAAAUUACCAAAUAGCUCUAAAUUUUUUAAAGCUGAUGGAGUGUUGAUAGAGAAAUGUGUUUUAAUCUUUUCUAAUCUUCUCUUCUUGCAUCACAUAACUAUUUGAAUGUCUGUGCAAUAUUCUCCAUAUUUAUUUUUUAUUCCAAAAACUCUAUCCAUUUUUUU